GGCGACCGGCGCACGGGUGCGUAACGCGUAUGCAACCUACCUUUAACAGGGGCAUAACACUGAGAAAUUGGUACUAAUUCCCCAUAACAUUCGAGAAGGCAUCUUCUUGGGUUAAAAACUCCGGUGGUUAAAGAUGGGCAUGCGUUGUAUUAGCUAGUUGGUGAGGUAACGGCUCACCAAGGCAACGAUACAUAGGGGGACUGAGAGGUUAACCCCCCACAUUGGUACUGAGACACGGACCAAACUCCUACGGGAGGCAGCAGUGAGGAAUAUUGGUCAAUGGACGCAAGUCUGAACCAGCCAUGCCGCGUGCAGGAAGACGGCUCUAUGAGUUGUAAACUGCUUUUGUACUAGGGUAAACGCUUCUACGUGUAGGAGCCUGAAAGUAUAGUACGAAUAAGGAUCGGCUAACUCCGUGCCAGCAGCCGCGGUAAUACGGAGGAUCCAAGCGUUAUCCGGAUUUAUUGGGUUUAAAGGGUGCGUAGGCGGUUUGAUAAGUUAGAGGUGAAAUACCGGGGCUCAACUCCGGAACUGCCUCUAAUACUGUUGAACUAGAGAGUAGUUGCGGUAGGCGGAAUGUAUGGUGUAGCGGUGAAAUGCUUAGAGAUCAUACAGAACACCGAUUGCGAAGGCAGCUUACCAAACUAUAUCUGACGUUGAGGCACGAAAGCGUGGGGAGCAAACAGGAUUAGAUACCCUGGUAGUCCACGCAGUAAACGAUGAUAACUCGUUGUCGGCGAUACACAGUCGGUGACUAAGCGAAAGCGAUAAGUUAUCCACCUGGGGAGUACGUUCGCAAGAAUGAAACUCAAAGGAAUUGACGGGGGCCCGCACAAGCGGAGGAACAUGUGGUUUAAUUCGAUGAUACGCGAGGAACCUUACCCGGGCUUGAAAGUUAGUGACGAUUCUGGAAACAGGAUUUCCCUUCGGGGCACGAAACUAGGUGCUGCAUGGUUGUCGUCAGCUCGUGCCGUGAGGUGUCGGGUUAAGUCCCAUAACGAGCGCAACCCCUACCGUUAGUUGCCAUCAGGUCAAGCUGGGCACUCUGGCGGGACUGCCGGUGUAAGCCGAGAGGAAGGUGGGGAUGACGUCAAAUCAGCACGGCCCUUACGUC
RNAcentral lists this ribosomal RNA (1114 nucleotides) under human gut metagenome. Its description in RNAcentral is "bacterial SSU rRNA". It matches the Rfam family "Bacterial small subunit ribosomal RNA", at positions 90 to 1208 of the family's 1533-position model. The record is from RNAcentral.